UCUACGGGGGGCUGCAGUGGGGAAUAUUGGACAAUGGGCGCAAGCCUGAUCCAGCAAUGCCGCGUGUGUGAAGAAGGCCUGAGGGUUGUAAAGCACUUUAAGCAGGAAAGAAGGGGUGGGAGUUAAUACCUUUCAUCAUUGACGUUACCUGCAGAAUAAGCACCGGCUAACUCCGUGCCAGCAGCCGCGGUAAUACGGAGGGUGCAAGCGUUGCUCGGAGUGCCUGUGCGUAGAGUGAGCAGUCGGGGGUGAAAGCCCCGGGCUUAACCUGGGAACUGCGGUGGAUACUGUCGGGCUAGAGUGUGGUAGAGGGGAGUGGAAUUUCCGGUGUAGCAGUGAAAUGCGUAGAGAUCGGAAGGAACACCAGUGGCGAAGGCGGCUCCCUGGACUAACACUGACGCUGAGGUGCGAAAGCGUGGGGAGCAAACAGGAUUAGAUACCCUAGUAGUC
This 450-nucleotide ribosomal RNA is filed under the name uncultured bacterium. Its description in RNAcentral is "partial 16S ribosomal RNA". It matches the Rfam family "Bacterial small subunit ribosomal RNA", at positions 338 to 795 of the family's 1533-position model. The record is from RNAcentral.